Molecule: long non-coding RNA, 232 nt
Filed under: Arachis ipaensis
Lineage: Eukaryota; Viridiplantae; Streptophyta; Magnoliopsida; Fabales; Fabaceae
Description: long non-coding RNA (AIPA_LNC000702)
Source: RNAcentral
CACGGCGGAGCAGAGCAGAGGUUUCAGAACGGCGGAGCAGAUUAAAUGUUUCAGAACGGCGUGAGCAGAAAAACAUAGCAGAGCAGAACACGGCGCGAGCUCGAGCAAUGAGAAACACUACGACGGCGAGCAGAGAAGAGGAUUACAAUGCAAGGUAGAAACGAUAACAGAAGAGCAAGGCAGAGACGGUGCUGGAGGUGAAGAAAGUGGCGACGGCACAACUUCUCUCUCC